CUGGGAUAUGAGCUUUCUCUCUUGGUUCUCAAAUUGUAUUCAACACUCUAGUAUAAGGGAUUAUUCAUUGCUCCUGGAACAUAAUACAAAUUUUUGUCCCCAUAGCUUUGCUCAUACUAUUUCUUAUUCCAAAAGAAGGGACUAGUUUAUUCUUCUAAUACAAUUAUUAUCAUUCCUAUUUUACAGAUGAGUAAAUUGAGACUUAAAAGUCAAUUGGCUUGCUCAAGAUUAUAUAGUCAUUCAGUAUUGAGGGUACUAAAUCUUCAGUCAAUGAGUACAAUGCCAUUUGUGAGCACAAACAUUUGGAGGACUCUGCUUUUACCAGAGGAUUGUUCUAUUUGGAUAGGGUAAGGAAUUCUUCCCAAUAAUGUCAUAGAGAUUACAUCUUCAGCUUCUAAUCCAGAAUAAUGAUACAAACACUGAAACAACACUAUGCAAGAAGCUUCCUAUGCUACUCUUGGCUAAAAUGCUUAGGCCAUCCUGGCUGAUGGCAGAAAUCUGAUACCAGUAAUACUAUGCUUUGCAAUCUAUACCUACCACAAAGGAUAAUAAAUAAUAGCAAUGGAAAAAUCCA
RNAcentral lists this long non-coding RNA (574 nucleotides) under Monodelphis domestica (gray short-tailed opossum). RNAcentral describes it as "lncRNA (ENSMODG00000032180.2)". The record is from RNAcentral. Lineage: Eukaryota; Metazoa; Chordata; Mammalia; Didelphimorphia; Didelphidae.